UUAAAGUUUAUUACAGUGGUUAUAGUAUCAAGUAUGCCAUCUUCAUCUAGCUUUAUAGCAAGAAAAUGGCAAAAUAUGAGAAGUACAUAUACUAGAGUGAUAUACCCUGUCUCAACUGAGAUAAGAACUAAAAAAAACGAGGAGCGAAAUUACGUAGGCGAAAAAAAAAAGGAAUUGGUUAAUCGGCAGACUCAGUCUACAACAGUACAAGUACAAAGCAAGAAAAAGUGUGAACGUGAUAGAUCAGGAAGUUUUGACUAAAGACUGAUGACAGUGAAAUGUUGGCCACAAGAGUUACCCCAGCAAAAGGAAAGGAUCAAACUACUGAUGACACCUCCGCCACCAUAGUCCCAACAGUGAUGGAAAUACCAAUUAUAAAGCAGCACUACCAGGAAAUGGCCCCCAAAUGAUGGGACCAUGGGAAGAGGAUUGACUCUGACAGUGCUCCACACCACCUUCCCAUUUGUCUGCCAAUUAUUGACAACUCUAGAUCAGACCAGAUGGCAUUAACCUAGGCUAAAGCGGUAAUCCAGAGCAUGCCACUGGUCAAUCAAAAAUACAGCAGUUUUGAAAGAUCUGUUGUCAAGGCUCAGUUACGGGUGAGGGAAGUUGAAACUUAUGCUAAAUGCUAAGGGCUCAUCAGGCUGGCUGGUAUAUGACUAACUUAGCAGCGGUUUAGGCUCUAUUUAUAUCAUCAGUUCCAUGGACAACAACAGUAAUGGUAUGAACUUGAUAAAAUAACUGAAGUAACAUAUGAGAAGACAGAACUGGACAGGAAGUCCUGGGGUUAAGCAGACAAUAAAUGAUGGAUGGAACAAAAUGCCUGAUUGCCUCCAACUUUGGUACAAAUUCCAAGGGCACUUAGCAAAAAGACUUACUAUUGCUAACCGAACAGAAGGUUUCACAGAGCUUUACGAGAGCAAAGCCACUACCCGUGGCAGAAAGUACAUGCCACUGGCAGUUGACAAAUUUGAAGAGAAGUAUAGGUCUGCAGAAGAAUUAUGGUCCAUGUGAAGUUCUACCCAUAAAACUUUUGUUUUCCAGUGUAUUGAAUUUAUCAAUAAAGAGGAAGAUUAUUCCUGACUUCAAGUAA
RNAcentral lists this long non-coding RNA (1093 nucleotides) under Limulus polyphemus (Atlantic horseshoe crab). RNAcentral's name for it is "uncharacterized LOC111089219, transcript variant X1". The record is from RNAcentral. Lineage: Eukaryota; Metazoa; Arthropoda; Merostomata; Xiphosura; Limulidae.